UACGUAGGUGGCAAGCGUUGUCCGGAUUUACUGGGCGUAAAGAGCGCGCAGGCGGUCGUGCAAGUCGAGUGUGAAAGCCCCCGGCUCAACUGGGGAGGGUCACGCGAUACUGCUCGACUCGAAGGCAGGAGAGGGAAGUGGAAUUCCCGGUGUAGUGGUGAAAUGCGUAGAUAUCGGGAGGAACACCAGUGGCGAAGGCGACUUCCUGGCCUGUUCUUGACGCUGAGGCGCGAAAGCUAGGGUAGCAAACGGG
RNAcentral lists this ribosomal RNA (253 nucleotides) under uncultured bacterium. RNAcentral's name for it is "partial 16S ribosomal RNA". It matches the Rfam family "Bacterial small subunit ribosomal RNA", at positions 524 to 776 of the family's 1533-position model. The record is from RNAcentral.